CAUCUUGAGCAUGUAUUGACCCUCUGGGCAGAAUAAACUUGGUUUGAGCUUUCAUAUUGUCCAUUGAGUUUUAACUCUGAAAAUUAGAACCUAACAGCACACACACUACAUACACCCAGACACACCCACACCCCAGCACACUACAUACACCCAGACACACACACUCACACCCCAUUUACACACUACAUACGCCCAGACACACACGCCCAGACACACACACUCACCCCAGCACACACUACAUACGCCCAGACACACACACUCACACCCAGCACACACUACAUACGCCCAGACACACACACUCACACCCCAGCACACACUACAUACGCCCAGACACACACACUCACACCCCAGCACACACUACAUACGCCCAGACACACACACUCACACCCCAGCACACACUACAUACGCCCAGACACACACACUCACACCCCAGCACACACUACAUACGCCCAGACACACACACUCACACCCCAGCACACACUACAUACGCCCAGACACACACACUCACACCCCAGCACACACUACAUACGCACAGACACACACACUCACACCCCAGCACACACUACAUACGCCCAGACACACACACUCACACCCCAGCACACACUACAUACGCCCAGACACACACACUCACACCCCAGCACACACUACAUACGCACAGACACACACACACACCCCAGCACACACUACAUACGCCCAGACACACACACACACACACUCACACCCCAGCACACACUACAUACGCCCAGACACACACACACACUCACACCCCAGCACACACUACAUACGCCCAGACACACACACACACUCACACCCCAGCACACACUACAUACGCCCAGACACACACACACUCACACCCCAGCACACACUACAUACGCCCAGACACACACACACUCACACCCCAGCACACACUACAUACGCCCAGACACACACACACUCACACCCCAGCACACACUACAUACGCCCAGACACACACACACACUCACACCCCAGCACACACUACAUACGCCUAAACGCACACACUCACACCUCAGCACACACUACAUACGCCCAGACACACACAACAUGCAUGCUGAUGCCACAUACCACGAACCCCAGAGGAGCCUUAUUGUUAUUAUAAACUGGUUGCCAAUGUAAUUAGAAGGGUAAAACUGAAUGUUUUGUCAUACGGUUUGAUAUACCACGGUUUACAGCCAAUCAGCAUUCAGGGCUCGGACCAGCCAGUUUUAUAAGAUUCG
This 1235-nucleotide long non-coding RNA is filed under the name Salmo trutta (river trout). RNAcentral describes it as "lncRNA (ENSSTUG00000021942.1)". Lineage: Eukaryota; Metazoa; Chordata; Actinopteri; Salmoniformes; Salmonidae. The record is from RNAcentral.